RNAcentral lists this transfer RNA (56 nucleotides) under Bos taurus (domestic cattle). It matches the Rfam family "tRNA", at positions 8 to 63 of the family's 71-position model. Rfam says of the family: Transfer RNA (tRNA) molecules are approximately 80 nucleotides in length. Lineage: Eukaryota; Metazoa; Chordata; Mammalia; Artiodactyla; Bovidae. RNAcentral also lists the same sequence under 3 other names. The record is from Rfam by way of RNAcentral.
UGGCUAAGCUGGUAAAGCGUCUGCCUACAAUGCGGGAGACCAGGGUUCAAUCCCUG